Molecule: ribosomal RNA, 272 nt
Filed under: uncultured bacterium
Lineage: Bacteria
Description: partial 16S ribosomal RNA
Rfam family: Bacterial small subunit ribosomal RNA
Source: RNAcentral
GACGAACGCUGGCGGCGUGCUUAACACAUGCAAGUCACGGGGGCUUGGGGGCGACUCUGAGCAACCGGCGAACGGGUGCGUAACACGUGAGCAACCUGCCGAUCUGUGGGGGAUAGCCGGGCUAACGCCCGGGUAAUACCGCAUACGGUUCCUGCGAGGCGUCUUGACGGGAAAGAAACCUCUGGGGCAGAUCGAGGGGCUCGCGGCCUAUCAGCUGGUUGGGGGGUAAUGGCCCACCAAGGCGACGACGGGUAGCUGGUCUGAGAGGAUGG